UUAGAGUUUGAUCCUGGCUCAGAACGAACGCUGGCGGCAGGCUUAACACAUGCAAGUCGAACGCCCCUUUCGAGGGGAGUGGCAGACGGGUGAGUAACACGUGGGAACGUACCUCUUUGUUCGGAAUAACUCAUGGAAACGUGAGCUAAUACCGGAUACGCCCUUUUGGGGAAAGAUUUAUCGCAGAGAGAUCGGCCCGCGUCUGAUUAGCUAGUUGGUGAGGUAAUGGCUCACCAAGGCGACGAUCAGUAGCUGGUCUGAGAGGAUGAUCAGCCACACUGGGACUGAGACACGGCCCAGACUCCUACGGGAGGCAGCAGUGGGGAAUAUUGGACAAUGGGGGCAACCCUGAUCCAGCCAUGCCGCGUGAGUGAUGAAGGCCUUAGGGUUGUAAAGCUCUUUUAUCCGGGAAGAUAAUGACUGUACCGGAAGAAUAAGCCCCGGCUAACUUCGUGCCAGCAGCCGCGGUAAUACGAAGGGGGCUAGCGUUGUUCGGAAUCACUGGGCGUAAAGGGCGCGUAGGCGGACGAUUAAGUCAGGGGUGAAAUCCCGGGGCUCAACCUCGGAAUUGCCCUUGAUACUGGUUGUCUUGAGAUUGGAAGAGGUAAGUGGAAUUGCGAGUGUAGAGGUGAAAUUCGUAGAUAUUCGCAAGAACACCGGUGGCGAAGGCGACUUACUGGUCCAUAUCUGACGCUGAGGCGCGAAAGCGUGGGGAGCAAACAGGAUUAGAUACCCUGGUAGUCCACGCCGUAAACAAUGGAUGCCAGCUGUUGGGGAGCAUGCUCCUUCAGUGGGGCACUCAAC
This 804-nucleotide ribosomal RNA is filed under the name uncultured bacterium. RNAcentral's name for it is "bacterial SSU rRNA". It matches the Rfam family "Bacterial small subunit ribosomal RNA", at positions 1 to 856 of the family's 1533-position model. The record is from RNAcentral.